UACGCUGGCGGCACGCCUUAUACAUGCAAGUCGAACGAAGUAGUAAUACUUAGUGGCAGACGGGUGAGUAACAUGUAGGUAUCUUCCCUUUGGUGAGGAAUAACACGAGGAAACUUGUGCUAAUACCUCAUAAGUCUUUACGGAGAAAGCUUUAUGCGCCGAAGGAUGAGCCUGCACUUGAUUAGUUUGUUGGUGGGGUAAUGGCCUACCAAGACUUUGAUCUAUAGCUGAUCUGAGAGGAUGAUCAGCCACAUUGGGACUGAGACACGGCCCAAACUCCUACGGGAGGCAGCAGUAGGGAAUAUUGCACAAUGGAGGAAACUCUGAUGCAGCGAUGCCGCGUGAGUGAAGAAGGCCUUUGGGUUGUAAAGCUCUUUCGUCGGGGAAGAAAAUGACUGUACCCGAAUAAGAAGGUCCGGCUAACUU
RNAcentral lists this ribosomal RNA (426 nucleotides) under uncultured bacterium. Its description in RNAcentral is "bacterial SSU rRNA". It matches the Rfam family "Bacterial small subunit ribosomal RNA", at positions 33 to 503 of the family's 1533-position model. The record is from RNAcentral.